GUUUUGAAGGAAUAUGUCUGAAAACCCUGAAAACCCUAGCUGUCUAUACACACAUCCAAUCUCUGUCCUCCCCCGUUCUAAUCUGCCGCUCCAUUAUACUUUAACCUGCAAUCAUUUAAUCUCUAUGUAUCUCCAUAUUUAAACCCUAAGCUAAACUCUCCCUGGUUUCACCCUCCAUGCCGAACAUCUCUACGAUGGAGGGGUAUGGUGGCAGGUGGCCCAUCAGGUUUAUGUGGAGGUCCGGGGUCAGUGACGGGAGGUGUGGAGGCAGUGGCGGUUGUGGGAGAUGCGGCAGCAGCUUGAUUUCAAUCUUAUUUUACUGAUUUUGUUUUAUUUUCAGCUUGAUUCAUUCAGAUUGCUUCGCAAGGUGUUACGUUUCAUGACGAGUGGCGGUAUGCUGUUCAUAUCCUAGGGCACAUUUACCUAAAUGAUUUUUAUUAUCUGGCAUUUGCUGUGUUUGUGGGUUGCAAUAUGGAUCUGGCAACAUGUGCUGGAGUUCUUUGUGCGUAUAUUGCCCCGCAGCUGGUUCCGGUAUACCUGAGGUUAAAGCUUAUCUUAAUGGUGUAGAUGCGCAUUCUAUUCUGGCUCCAAGCACCCUCUUUGUAAAGAUUUUUGGAUCGAUAUUUGGAGUGGCUGUUGGAUUUGUUGUGGGAAAGGAAGGCCCAAUGGUUCACAUGGGGGCUUGCAUAGCUAACUUACUUGGUCAAGGAGCAUCUACAAAGUAUUGACAUGGACAUGGCUUAGAUAUUUCAAAAAUGAUAGGGACAGGAGGGACUUGAUCACAUGUGGUGCAGCUGCUGGUGUUGCUGCUGCUUUUCGUUCCCCUGUUGGCGGGGCUCUCUUUGCACUUGAAGAAGCAGCCUCAUGGUGGCGGAGCGCUCUUCUUUGGAAAGCGUUUUUCACAACUGUUGUAGUAGCUGUGGUUUUGAAGGGCCUGAUUGAAUAUUGUAAAACUGGACAGUGUCGAUUGAUUGGGGAAGAUGGUCUGAUCAUGCGCGAUAUCAAUAAUUCAGUACCUUCUUACAACACCAUUGAUCUCCUUGCCAUUGUAUUACUUGGAGUUACCGGUGGAGUUUUUAGAAUCAUUUACAAUUAUCUUGUUGAUGAGGUCUUGUCGCAGUGGUGGCUACAACAUUAAGAUGGGCCCCGGUUGUUCUAUAGGGCUGACGAAGUUUGACAUGGGUUGUUCCGCAACGGUGUUAGGCGCUGCAAAAGCCGUUGGUCAAUUUAAACCCUCUGUAGUAAAGGAAACUACCAGUAACUUCUCGUAACCUCUCAACCGCCGCUUGUAGCGGUUAUUUUUGCUAGUUUAUACGGACAGGAUUUAAUCUCAGCAAGAUCUAACGACCAAGAAUGAUUUCAGAGGGACCAACGGAUACAUGGACUUAGUCUUCCUGAAGACUCGCUCAAGAUGCUUGGAAGACGAACGUUGGGAGCUGGAGAAGAAGUCUACAACGGUCAUAGGGAAUAUUCGCAGUAUCCCGAAAUUAUAGGAUAGUUAGUUGUUUUUUGUAACUAUAUAAAGGAGUGCCGGAUCAGUAGGUAAACACGUGUAAUCCCGCACACUUUCACUUACAGAUUGCAGCUACGAUCACAUUCAGUCACAACACUUAUAUUUCACAUUCAUUGUAACACUUAGAGCUGAUCCGAGCAUUAUCCUGAAGCUGUAUCCUGCUGUUCAAUCAAUAAGAAGAACAAAGGCAGCUGACAAUUGUCAGCUCCCGAGGUUUCGUGCUGGCGAUCUAAAAAGAUCAAGUGCUUUCCUCGUA
Long non-coding RNA from Helianthus annuus (common sunflower), 1769 nucleotides. RefSeq lists it as uncharacterized. Lineage: Eukaryota; Viridiplantae; Streptophyta; Magnoliopsida; Asterales; Asteraceae. The transcript has 8 exons. The record is from RefSeq and is a predicted model, not a curated record.